GCUUCCUUGGCUCAGUUGGCUAGAGCGCAGGUCUCAUAUUUCUAUGAGCGGUCUUAGACCGUGCAAUCCUGAGGUCGCAAGUUCGAGCCUUGCAGGGAGCA
Non-coding RNA from Vararia minispora EC-137, 101 nucleotides. Lineage: Eukaryota; Fungi; Basidiomycota; Agaricomycetes; Russulales; Lachnocladiaceae. The record is from the annotation of a GenBank genome assembly.